UAAGGGCGCACGGUGGAUGCCUUGGCACUAGAAGCCGAUGAAGGACGUUACUAACGACGAUAUGCUUUGGGGAGCUGUAAGUAAGCUUUGAUCCAGAGAUUUCCGAAUGGGGAAACCCAGCAUGAGUUAUGUCAUGUUAUCGAUAUGUGAAUACAUAGCAUAUCAGAAGGCACACCCGGAGAACUGAAACAUCUUAGUACCCGGAGGAAGAGAAAGAAAAUUCGAUUCCCUUAGUAGCGGCGAGCGAAACGGGAAGAGCCCAAACCAACAAGCUUGCUUGUUGGGGUUGUAGGACACUCUAUACGGAGUUACAAAGGACGACAUUAGACGAAUCAUCUGGAAAGAUGAAUCAAAGAAGGUAAUAAUCCUGUAGUCGAAAAUGUUGUCUCUCUUGA
This 395-nucleotide ribosomal RNA is filed under the name Staphylococcus aureus. RNAcentral's name for it is "partial 23S ribosomal RNA". It matches the Rfam family "Bacterial large subunit ribosomal RNA", at positions 12 to 400 of the family's 2925-position model. The record is from RNAcentral. Lineage: Bacteria; Bacillati; Bacillota; Bacilli; Caryophanales; Staphylococcaceae.